UACGUAGGGUGCGAGCGUUAAUCGGAAUUACUGGGCGUAAAGCGUGCGCAGGCGGUUUUGUAAGUCCGAUGUGAAAGCCCCGGGCUUAACCUGGGAAUGGCAUUUGGGACUGCAAGGCUAGAGUGCGGCAGAGGAGACUGGAAUUCCUGGUGUAGCAGUGAAAUGCGUAGAUAUCAGGAGGAAUACCGAUGGCGAAGGCAGGUCUCUGGGCUGACACUGACGCUCAUGCACGAAAGCGUGGGGAGCGAACAGG
RNAcentral lists this ribosomal RNA (253 nucleotides) under uncultured bacterium. RNAcentral describes it as "partial 16S ribosomal RNA". It matches the Rfam family "Bacterial small subunit ribosomal RNA", at positions 524 to 776 of the family's 1533-position model. The record is from RNAcentral.